RNAcentral lists this transfer RNA (98 nucleotides) under Chitinophagaceae bacterium. RNAcentral describes it as "tRNA-Pro". Lineage: Bacteria; Pseudomonadati; Bacteroidota; Chitinophagia; Chitinophagales; Chitinophagaceae. The record is from RNAcentral.
AGGGACGUAGUCCAGCCAUCGGCGGGACACUUGCAUAGGGAGCAAGGGGUCGUCCCGAAUGCAUUCGGGAUCGUCGCUAGUUUGACUCGCCGUCCCGA